This 1086-nucleotide long non-coding RNA is filed under the name Delphinapterus leucas (beluga whale). RNAcentral's name for it is "lncRNA (ENSDLEG00000006573.1)". The record is from RNAcentral. Lineage: Eukaryota; Metazoa; Chordata; Mammalia; Artiodactyla; Monodontidae.
CUCUGCAGUUACUUGAGACUUCCGGAUCUUGCUGUUUCAGACCAUCCCAGCUGCAGUGGUGCACAGCAAGAGUCCAAGCAAUUCAAACAUUCAUACAGCACCCAGCAUGUGUGGCCUUAUGGAUCCCAACAGUUGGCCCCAAAGAGAUGCCUCUCAUGGAACAAAAUGAGGUAGGUAACAGUCUACCUAUAGAAGAUUUAAUUGCUUCUCUAUAUGCACGAGCUUGGCUAUAGUUGAAGGACCUAACUUGGUUUGGGGUAGAAUUUCACCCUAUCUGGAGUAGCUUGCAGAGUUUCUCAGGCUCCACUUCAAAACUGGAAGAAGCUGGGAAGAGUGGAGGGGGCUCUGGGAAAUGGCCAACCAUACCCCUGCCAGACGCCCACUGAACAGAACCAGAAUUAAGAUCUUAAAUAUGUAGCUGGAAAAUUCCCAAGAACUAUGUAGUGGUGAUGGUGUCAGAGCCUGAGUAGUGCCUAUCUGAGGCCCUUUCAUCAUAGCCACUUGGAUGAGGCCUCUGCCUUGUGAAGACAUGGCACCUUGGGCCCAGAUGGGAGGAAGGGGACAGCCACCUUUUAUCGACUGCUGAAUGACUUCACAUUCUCUUGUACCACCUGGCACCCGUGGGUUCAAGAAAGAAGGGCACUGUAUCAGUUUCUUAGGGCUGCUGUGACAAAGUACCACCAACUGGAUGGCUUAAAACAAUAGAAAUGUAUUGUCUCACAGUAUAGGAGGGAUUAAGUCUAAAAUCAAGAUGUUAGCAGGCUCUGUUCCCUCUGAAGCCUGCAGAGGAAUCCUUCCUUGGCCCUUACUUGCUUCUGGUGGUUUGUGGGUGAUCUUUGGCAUUCCUUGGCUUAUAGAUGCAUAAAUACAACCUGCUGUCAUCACAUGAUGUUCUCUCUGUUUCCCUGUCUUCGCAAGGCCAUCUUCUUAUAAGGACACCAGUCAUAUUGCAUUAGGGGUCCAAUCUACUCCAGUUAGGACCUCAGCUCAACUAAUUACAUUUGCAACAGCCAUAUUUCCAAAUAAAGUCACAUUCAGAGGUGCUGGGGGUUAGGACUUCAUCAUUAUCUUUUUUUGGGGGGGGGA